This 497-nucleotide ribosomal RNA is filed under the name uncultured bacterium. RNAcentral describes it as "partial 16S ribosomal RNA". It matches the Rfam family "Bacterial small subunit ribosomal RNA", at positions 28 to 507 of the family's 1533-position model. The record is from RNAcentral.
GAUGAACGCUGGCGGCGUGCCUAAUACAUGCAAGUCGAGCGAACAGACGAGGAGCUUGCUCCUCUGACGUUAGCGGCGGACGGGUGAGUAACACGUGGCUAACCUACCUAUAAGACUUGGAUAACUUCGGGAAACCGGAGCUAAUAACGGAUAAUAUAUUGAACCGCAUGGUUCAAUAGUGAAAGACGGUUUUGCUGUCACUUAUAGAUGGAUCCGCGCCGCAUUAGCUAGUUGGUAAGGUAACGGCUUACCAAGGCAACGAUGCGUAGCCGACCUGAGAGGGUGAUCAGCCACACUGGAACUGAGACACGGUCCAGACUCCUACGGGAGGCAGCAGUAGGGAAUCUUCCGCAAUGGGCGAAAGCCUGAUGGAGCAACGCCGCGUGAGUGAAGAAGGUCUUCGGAUCGUAAAACUCUGUUAUUAGGGAAGAACAAAUGUGUAAGUAACUAUGCACGUCUUGACGGUACCUAAACAGAAAGCCACGGCUAACUACGUG